This 1537-nucleotide ribosomal RNA is filed under the name metagenome. Its description in RNAcentral is "bacterial LSU rRNA". It matches the Rfam family "Bacterial large subunit ribosomal RNA", at positions 1403 to 2925 of the family's 2925-position model. The record is from RNAcentral.
UUAGAGGCGUAGCUGAUGGUUAGCCGGUUAAUAUUCCGGCCCUAACAUACGGACGUUAUUACCCAUACGGGGACAGUGGAACAAGAUGCAGGCGGUCAUGUGGAUCGACCGUUCAAGGGUGUAGGGCAACCGAGACCUGAGUACGAGGCUGCGGGGUAACCCAAAGUCAAGCUGUGUGGAGUCGACACUCGAUAAAAGCCGUAUUGGGGAGACCGUAUGGUAUCCGUACCGUAAUCCGACACAGGUGGGCGAGGCGAGUAGCCUAAGGUGAACGAGUGAAACGUGGUCAAGGAACUCGGCAUAAUUAUCCCGUAACUUCGGAAGAAGGGAUGCUUUCGCCGGUGUUCUUAUUUACUGAGAAUGCUAGCGAGAGCCGCAGUUAAUCGGCCCAAGCGACUGUUUAGCAAAAACACAGGUGCGUGCAAAGCCGCGUAAGGCGCCGUAUACGCACUGACGCCUGCCCGGUGCCGGAAGGUUAAGGGGAGAGGUUAGCCGCAAGGCGAAGCUUUGAGCCGAAGCCCCGGUAAACGGCGGUCGUAACUAUAACGGUCCUAAGGUAGCGAAAUUCCUUGUCGGGUAAGUUCCGACCUGCACGAAUGGCGUAACGACUUGGGCACUGUCUCGACCACGUGCUCGGCGAAAUUGCAGUCUCGGUGAGGAUUCCGAGUUCCCGCAGCAGGACAAAGAGACCCCAUGCACCUUUACUGUAGCUUGUCAUUGUUCAUUGCCCUGUGCUGUGUAGAAUAGGUGGGAGCCGUUGAGGUCCAGGCGCUAGCUUGGGCGGAGGCACCAGUGAAAUACCACCCUGCACUGUGCGAUGAACUCACCAAGUACGAGAAAACCUCGGCUGGGACCGUGGCAGGUGGGCAGUUUGACUGGGGCGGUCGCCUCCGAAAGAGUAACGGAGGCGCGCGCAAGGUUCUCUCAGCGCGGUCGGUACUCGCGCUUAUAGAGUGUAACGGCAUAAGAGAGCCUGACGGUGAGACGGACACGUCGAGCCGCCACGAAAGUGGGCCGUAGUGAUCCGGUAGCCCGGUGUGGAUCGGCUAUCGCGCAACGGAUAAAAGGUACGCUGGGGAUAACAGGCUUAUCGCGCCCGAGAGUUCACAUCGACGGCGCGGUUUGGCACCUCGAUGUCGGCUUGUCACAUCCUGGGGCUGGAGGAGGUCCCAAGGGUCCGGCUGUUCGCCGGUUAAAGUGGCACAUGAGCUGGGUUCAGAACGUCGUGAGACAGUUCGGUCUGUAUCCGCUGUGGGCGUUGGAAGGUUGAGGGGUGUGGACCCUAGUACGAGAGGACCGGGUCGAACUGCCCGCUCGUGUCCCGGCUGUCUCGCCAGAGGCACCGCCGGGUAGCGAUGGCAGGCGCAGAUAACCGCUGAAAGCAUCUAAGUGGGAAGCUGCCCCCAAGAUGAACCUUCCCUGGAGCCUUGAGCUCCCUUAAGGGCCGGGAGAGACUAUCCCGUCGAUAGGCCGCACGUGGAAGAGUGGCAACACUCUCCGAGCGAAGCGGUCCUAAUCGCCCGUGAGGCUUGAUUAC